GUAGGUGGCAAGCGUUGUCCGGAAUUAUUGGGCGUAAAGCGCGCGCAGGCGGUCCUUUAAGUCUGAUGUGAAAGCCCACGGCUCAACCGUGGAGGGUCAUUGGAAACUGGGGGACUUGAGUACAGAAGAGGGAAGCGGAAUUCCAAGUGUAGCGGUGAAAUGCGUAGAGAUUUGGAGGAACACCAGUGGCGAAGGCGGCUUUCUGGUCUGUAACUGACGCUGAGGCGCGAAAGCGUGGGGAGCAAACAGGGAUUAGAUACCCUGGUAGUCCACGCCGUAAACGAUGAGUGCUAAGUGUAAGGGGGUUUCCCGCCCCUUAGUGCUGCAGCUAACGCAUUAAGCACUCCGCCUGGGGAUACGGCCGCAAGGCUG
RNAcentral lists this ribosomal RNA (372 nucleotides) under uncultured organism. RNAcentral describes it as "partial 16S ribosomal RNA". It matches the Rfam family "Bacterial small subunit ribosomal RNA", at positions 527 to 896 of the family's 1533-position model. The record is from RNAcentral.